GCCUCCUCGCCCGCGCGCCGCGCUCAGUCCCGGGGCGCGCAGCGGGCGCACUCGGCUCGGCUCCGCUCGGCGCGCCAUGGCCCCGGGCCUGCGCGGCUUCCCGCGGCGGGGCCUCUGGCUGCUCCUCGUGCACCAGCUCUUCGUGGUCACCGCCUGCCGGGACUCCACCUUCGAUACUGUCAUCCAGGAGCUCUGCCUGGCCCAGUUCCAGCUGGACAUGGAGGCCAUCGGGGAGCCGCUCUGGUGCGACUGGGACAGGACCAUUGGGACCUAUGGGGACCUCAGCGACUGCACCAGACACGCUGCCGAGACGCUGGGCUGCUUCUGGCCCAACCCCGCGGUGGACAGGUUCUUCCUGGCUGUGCACCGGCGCUACUUCCGGAGCUGCCCCGCGUCCGGGAGGGCUGUGCGGGACCCGCCGGGCAGCGUGCUCUGCCCCUUCAUCGUGGUGCCCAUUGCCGUCACCCUGCUCGUCACGGCGCUAGUGGUCUGGAGGAGCCAGCACACCGAGGGCGUCAUAUAGCCCACGGGGCGGGGGGACCCCCAAUGCCAGGGCUGCCCCUGCACACCCAGGAUGGAGAGAAGGGGGUGGGGGGACCCCCAAUGCCAGGGCUGCCCCUGCACACCCAGGCUGAGGGAUGGGGCUGGGGGAGGUUUCCGGGGGCCUGGCUCAGGGAACGCUUCCCGUAAUGGCAAGGCAGCCCUGAGCUCCCCCUUUUCCCUCUAAUCUGAGAAGAGCUCCAGGAUUUCAGAACAGUCUGAAGCUGCCCCCACUCUGAUGGGCGGUGCAGGGGCCCGGACAGGUCAGCCGCGGCGCUGGGAGGAAGCAGGGUGUGACUGAUUUAUUUCGGGGGCCGUGUUCCCAGCUCAGCUUCUCCUGUUUCUGAGCCCUCCGGGGCGGUGUUCUGACCUCUGAACCCGACCACCCCCCCAGGGACAGGACGGGUUCAGGGGUGAGGAGUUUGUGAUUAAAAGGACGUUCCUAGC
Molecule: RNA transcript, 987 nt
Organism: Choloepus didactylus (southern two-toed sloth)
Lineage: Eukaryota; Metazoa; Chordata; Mammalia; Pilosa; Megalonychidae
Gene: RAMP1
Gene name: receptor activity modifying protein 1
Exons: 4
Source: RefSeq, a predicted model, not a curated record